RNAcentral lists this ribosomal RNA (322 nucleotides) under uncultured eukaryote. RNAcentral describes it as "partial 18S ribosomal RNA". It matches the Rfam family "Eukaryotic small subunit ribosomal RNA", at positions 1470 to 1796 of the family's 1831-position model. The record is from RNAcentral.
CCCUUAGAUGUUCUGGGCUGCACGCGCGCUACACUGUUACGAUCAACGAGUUUGUUCCUGGGCUGAUAAGCUUGGGCAAUCUUGAAAAUCGUAACGUGAUGGGGAUAGAUUAUUGUAAUUAUUAAUCUUGAACGAGGAAUUCCUAGUAAGUGUAAGUCGUCAGCUUGCGCUGAUUACGUCCCUGCCCUUUGUACACACCGCCCGUCGCUCCUACCGAUUGAGUGAUCCGGUGAGCAAUUCGGACUGCAGCCAUGGGGGCAACUUCAUGUGCAGUGGGAAGUCUUGCAAACCUUAUCACUUAGAGGAAGGAGAAGUCGUAACA